Molecule: long non-coding RNA, 539 nt
Filed under: Canis lupus familiaris (dog)
Lineage: Eukaryota; Metazoa; Chordata; Mammalia; Carnivora; Canidae
Description: lncRNA (ENSCAFG00000039697.3)
Source: RNAcentral
AUGAAACUUUUCCUCCCACAGAUCUGGUACAAUGAGAGACAAGUGUUAGAUCGGAUGGAUGGAGAAUCAGGCAUUGUGCUGCCCAGUCCUGGAAUUAAACCCCAGCUUGAGAGGCGGGUGCCAUCCUUCCCCAUGACAACUGCAGCUCAAGAAGCUUCCUGACUUGUCCCGGAUCAUCCAGCCAAGAGGCAGUUGGGACUCCAAAGUCUGGACCAAUACAGCAGGCAACACCAAUACUUGUGGAAAUACUACAGGGAGCCCUGGAGCUCGGAGGGAAGUGCCCAGUAUAAUCGGAAAUGCAUGGCUCAGUCACACUGGGUGAUGGGCACUGAGGGGGGCACUUGGCGGGAUGAGCACUGGGUGUUAUGCUAUAUGUUGGCAAAUUGAACUCCAAUAAAAAAAAUUAAAAAUAAAUAAAUAAAUAAAUAAGUACAUAUCUGCUGAACUACAUACAUUUACAAUUAGUGUCCUUUUUAUACUCAUGUAUGUUGUGUCUCAAUCAAAAUGUUAGCAAAUAAAAUAUAUUAUUAUCUCUGGAA